RNAcentral lists this long non-coding RNA (1233 nucleotides) under Sorghum bicolor (sorghum). Its description in RNAcentral is "long non-coding RNA (SBIC_LNC009056)". The record is from RNAcentral. Lineage: Eukaryota; Viridiplantae; Streptophyta; Magnoliopsida; Poales; Poaceae.
AGCCAUUCACACUGCCACUGUGGAAACCCAACAGCAAAUCCAAAAUUUUGAGGAGAGCAGCAAUAGAAACUGGUGCCAAGCCUACACAUCAUAUCACCUGCCCGUACCACCAUACAUUCCUCAACCACCACAUGCAUAUCCACCUCCUCCUGCACAAUAUCCUCCACAGCAAUAUCCUCCACCAUAUCCACUAUAUCCAUCGUAUCCACCCCAGUGAGGAAGGACAAGCUUGGGGGAGAUCCUCUCCCCCACCAAGGUAAGUAUUCUAUCCUAUUUAUUUCCAUGCAUUUUAUCAUUCUUGCUCUAAAAAAAAAAAUUAGCAUUUCCCUUUAGCAUAUAUGCUUCAUGUAUGUCUAUAUCCCUCAUGGAAAUGAUGACUAGUUGCUUGUUAAUGUUUCUCUAGUACCUAGUAUACAACUUAGUAUUUCUCCAAGUAUGGAUCACUUAGCUCACUUAAACUGCCAUGAACCUGAAAACUUUGUGGGUUGCAAGUGCUAGAACUAAGUCUAAGUUGUUGUGGGACAUGAGAUAGUGAGACAAGAGCUGCUAUAAUAUUAUUCUAAGCAUGCAUGAUUAUCAGAGAUUUAUUCUUAAAAUGAUCAAAACCUUAAUUGUUCCUCAAUGGUGAUGAAUUCCUACCACAGCUAUAUCUACUUUACAUGAUUGCAACCUUUCCACAUAAGCUAUUUGCUUUGUGUUGAGUGUCGCCAAGUCUUGUUGACCCCUGUUAAGAGACUUUUCAUGCUCCUAAGAUCAAGAUCACGUACACACCACAUAUAUAUAUGCUGCUUCUACACUGGAAGUACGCAACCACAUGUAUUUCGCAUCCACUAAAUAGGUUGCUCCAUACUCUAAAUGUUAGAAUAUCUCUCUCUAAGCAUUAUUUGGUAAAUGAGACAUCAAAAGCCUAGGCAAAAUGAAAUAAAAAGAUGGACAUGUGCAAGUCCACACAAAAAAAAAAUUGAGCACAUAAAGCUCGAAGAAAAAGAAAAUGCUAGCCAUGUCUCAAUAUACAAGUAGAGAGAGUGUAGCAAAUAAAGGAGCAACCUAGUCCACCAUAUAUCAGACUUGCACAUCUUGAUCUGGGAGUAUGACACUUCUCUUCAAGGAUCCGAGCUUUGACUUCGCAACACAUGCAAAGUAAGUAUGCUAUCUCCUUUCAUCCCUACCUUAAGCUCCACAUAAGCCUUUUAGAAAUAGGAUGAAAUAGAGAAGGCAACUCUAUCAUAUGCC